GAGCCACGCCGCGUGAGCGAAGAAGGCCUUCGGAUCGUAAAGCUCUGUUGUGAGGGAAGAACAACUACGGGUGUAUCUGCCGGUACCUUGACGGUACCUUAUCAGAAAGCCACGGCUAACUACGUGCCAGCAGCCGCGGUAAUACGUAGGUGGCAAGCGUUGUUCGGAAUUAUUGGGCGUAAAGCGCGCGCAGGCGGUCCUUUAAGUCUGAUGUGAAAGCCCACGGCUCAACCGUGGAGGGUCAUUGGAAACUGGCGGACUUGAGUGCAGAAGAGGAAAGCGGAAUUCCACGUGUAGCGGUGAAAUGCGUAGAGAUGUGGAGGAACACCAGUGGCGAAGGCGGCUUUCUGGUCCGUCACUGACGCUGAGGCGCGAAAGCGUGGGGAGCAAACAGGAUUAGAUACCCUGGUAGUCCACGCCGUAAACGAUG
This 430-nucleotide ribosomal RNA is filed under the name uncultured bacterium. Its description in RNAcentral is "bacterial SSU rRNA". It matches the Rfam family "Bacterial small subunit ribosomal RNA", at positions 389 to 811 of the family's 1533-position model. The record is from RNAcentral.